This 611-nucleotide ribosomal RNA is filed under the name uncultured bacterium. RNAcentral's name for it is "bacterial SSU rRNA". It matches the Rfam family "Bacterial small subunit ribosomal RNA", at positions 300 to 916 of the family's 1533-position model. The record is from RNAcentral.
UAGCUCGUCUGCAGUCGACGAUUCCUACGGGAGGCAGCAGUGGGGAAUAUUGCGCAAUGGGGGAAACCCUGACGCAGCGACGCCGCGUGAGUGAUGAAGGCCUUCGGGUCGUAAAGCUCUGUCGUAAGGGAAGAACGGGUUACAGGUUAAUACCCUGUAGCAUUGACGGUACCUUACAAGAAAGCACCGGCUAACUCCGUGCCAGCAGCCGCGGUAAUACGGAGGGUGCGAGCGUUGUUCGGAAUUACUGGGCGUAAAGAGCGUGUAGGCGGCUAACUAAGUCUGGUGUGAAAGCCCGGGGCUCACCCCCGGAAGUGCGCUGGAAACUGGUUAGCUAGAGUAUGGGAGAGGGAAGUGGAAUUCCUGGUGUAGCGGUGAAAUGCGUAGAUAUCAGGAGGAACACCGGCGGCGAAGGCGGCUUCCUGGACCAAUACUGACGCUGAGACGCGAAAGCGUGGGGAGCAAACAGGAUUAGAUACCCUGGUAGUCCACGCCGUAAACGAUGGGCACUAGGUGCCGCGGGUAUUGACCCCUGCGGUGCCGCAGCUAACGCAUUAAGUGCCCCGCCUGGGGAGUACGGUCGCAAGAUUAAAACUCAAAUGAAUUGACGG